CAGGGAAUAUUGCACAAUGGGCGAAAGCCUGAUGCAGCAACGCCGCGUGCGCGAAGAAGGCCUUCGGGUCGUAAAGCGCUUUUCGGGGAGAUGAGGAAGGACAGUAUCCCCGGAAUAAGGCUCGGCUAACUACGUGCCAGCAGCCGCGGUAAAACGUAGGAGCCAAGCGUUAUCCGAAUUCACUGGGCGUAAAGCGCGUGCAGGCGGCCUGGUAAGUUGGAUGUGAAAUCUCCUGGCUCAACUGGGAGAGGCCGUUCAAUACUGUCAGGCUAGAGGGCGACAGAGGGAGGUGGAAUUCCGGGUGUAGUGGUGAAAUGCGUAGAUAUCCGGAGGAACACCAGAGGCGAAGGCGACCUCCUGGGUCGCACCUGACGCUCAGACGCGAAAGCUAGGGGAGCAAACGG
This 404-nucleotide ribosomal RNA is filed under the name uncultured bacterium. Its description in RNAcentral is "bacterial SSU rRNA". It matches the Rfam family "Bacterial small subunit ribosomal RNA", at positions 355 to 775 of the family's 1533-position model. The record is from RNAcentral.